AAUUUGAGAUUACCACUGCCCAAGGGUGAGGAGGCCCGUAUGCAAUGCUGUUUGAACAGGCUUUGAAAAUCUAAAACAAACACAUUUUGAGUUGAAAUAAACUUGGACUCGCAAGUACAUAAAAAAUAAACCAUGGAUCGUACCUUUGAGGUAAAAGGACCAACAGGCAUCCU
Molecule: long non-coding RNA, 173 nt
Organism: Salvia splendens (bonfire salvia)
Lineage: Eukaryota; Viridiplantae; Streptophyta; Magnoliopsida; Lamiales; Lamiaceae
Exons: 3
Source: RefSeq, a predicted model, not a curated record